Molecule: ribosomal RNA, 440 nt
Filed under: uncultured bacterium
Lineage: Bacteria
Description: partial 16S ribosomal RNA
Rfam family: Bacterial small subunit ribosomal RNA
Source: RNAcentral
CCUACGGGAGGCAGCAGUGGGGAAUAUUGCACAAUGGGGGAAACCCUGAUGCAGCAACGCCGCGUGAGUGAAGAAGGAUUUCGGUAUGUAAAGCCCUAUUAGCAGGGAAGAAGAUGACGGUACCUGAGUAAGAAGCCCCGGCUAACUACGUGCCAGCAGCCGCGGUAAUACGUAGGGGGCAAGCGUUAUCCGGAUUUACUGGGUGUAAAGGGAGCGUAGACGGUGUGACAAGUCUGACGUGAAAUCCUGGGGCUAAAACACGGAACUGCUUUGGAAACUGAUUGACUGGAGUGGUGGAGAGGUAAGCGGAAGUCUUGGUGUAGCGGUGAAAUGCGUAGAUAUCAAGAAGAACACCAAUGGCGAAGGCGGCUUGCUGGACCGUAACUGACGUUGAGGCUCGAAAGCGUGGGGAGCAAACAGGAUUAGAUACCCUGGUAGUC